CCUACGGGGGGCUGCAGUAAGGAAUAUUGGUCAAUGGACGCAAGUCUGAACCAGCCAUGCCGCGUGGAGGAUUAAGGCCCUCUGGGUUGUAAACUCCUUUUAUCUGGGAAGAAAUGUACUUUUUCUUGAGUACUUGACGGUACCAGAGGAAUAAGCACCGGCUAACUCCGUGCCAGCAGCCGCGGUAAUACGGAGGGUGCAAGCGUCAUCCUGAUUCACGGGGUCGUAAGGGUGCAGAGGUGGGCAGGUAGAAAGCUCCGGGCUUAACCCGGAAACUGCCGUUGAUACUAUUUGUCUUGAAUAUUGUGGAGGUAAGCGGAAUAUGUCAUGUAGCGGUGAAAUGCUUAGAUAUGACAUAGAACACCAAUUGCGAAGGCAGCUUACUACACAAUCAUUGACGCUGAGGCACGAAAGCGUGGGGAUCAAACAGGAUUAGAUACCCUAGUAGUC
Molecule: ribosomal RNA, 450 nt
Filed under: uncultured bacterium
Lineage: Bacteria
Description: partial 16S ribosomal RNA
Rfam family: Bacterial small subunit ribosomal RNA
Source: RNAcentral